AUUGAACGCUGGCGGCAUGCUUUACACAUGCAAGUCGAACGGUAACAGGCCGCAAGGUGCUGACGAGUGGCGAACGGGUGAGUAAUGCAUCGGAACGUGCCCAGUCGUGGGGGAUAACUACUCGAAAGAGUAGCUAAUACCGCAUACGAUCUAUGGAUGAAAGCGGGGGACCGUAAGGCCUCGCGCGAUUGGAGCGGCCGAUGUCAGAUUAGGUAGUUGGUGGGGUAAAGGCUCACCAAGCCAACGAUCUGUAGCUGGUCUGAGAGGACGACCAGCCACACUGGGACUGAGACACGGCCCAGACUCCUACGGGAGGCAGCAGUGGGGAAUUUUGGACAAUGGGCGCAAGCCUGAUCCAGCAAUGCCGCGUGCAGGAAGAAGGCCUUCGGGUUGUAAACUGCUUUUGUACGGAACGAAACGGCUCUGGUUAAUACCCCGGGCUAAUGACGGUACCGUAAGAAUAAGCACCGGCUAACUACGUG
This 482-nucleotide ribosomal RNA is filed under the name uncultured bacterium. Its description in RNAcentral is "partial 16S ribosomal RNA". It matches the Rfam family "Bacterial small subunit ribosomal RNA", at positions 30 to 507 of the family's 1533-position model. The record is from RNAcentral.